This 492-nucleotide ribosomal RNA is filed under the name uncultured bacterium. Its description in RNAcentral is "partial 16S ribosomal RNA". It matches the Rfam family "Bacterial small subunit ribosomal RNA", at positions 29 to 507 of the family's 1533-position model. The record is from RNAcentral.
AGUGAACGCUGGCGGUAGGCCUAACACAUGCAAGUCGAACGGCAGCACAGUAAGAGCUUGCUCUUACGGGUGGCGAGUGGCGGACGGGUGAGGAAUAAAUCGGACUCUACUUUUUCGUGGGGGAUCACGUAGGGAAACUUACGCUAAUACCGCAUAUGAUCUACGGGUGAAAGCAGUGGAUCUUCGGACCUUUUGCGAUUGAAUGAGCCGGUGUCGGAUUAGCUAGUUGGCGGGGUAACGGCCCACCAAGGCGACGAUCCGUAGCUGGUCUGAGAGGAUGAUCGGCCACACUGGAACUGAGACACGGUCCAGACUCCUACGGGAGGCAGCAGUGGGGAAUAUUGGGCAAUGGGCGCAAGCCUGAUCCAGCCAUACCGCGUGGGUGAAGAAGGCCUUCGGGUUGUAAAGCCCUUUUAUUGGGAAAGAAAAGCAGUAGGUUAAUACCCCGCUGUUCUGACGGUACCCAAAGAAUAAGCACCGGCUAACUUCGUG